This 674-nucleotide ribosomal RNA is filed under the name Staphylococcus pasteuri. Its description in RNAcentral is "bacterial SSU rRNA". It matches the Rfam family "Bacterial small subunit ribosomal RNA", at positions 63 to 719 of the family's 1533-position model. Lineage: Bacteria; Bacillati; Bacillota; Bacilli; Caryophanales; Staphylococcaceae. The record is from RNAcentral.
CGAGCGAACAGAUGAGGAGCUUGCUCCUUUGACGUUAGCGGCGGACGGGUGAGUAACACGUGGAUAACCUACCUAUAAGACUGGGAUAACUUCGGGAAACCGGAGCUAAUACCGGAUAAGAUUUUGAACCGCAUGGUUCAAUAGUGAAAGACGGCCUUGCUGUCACUUAUAGAUGGAUCCGCGCCGUAUUAGCUAGUUGGUAAGGUAACGGCUUACCAAGGCAACGAUACGUAGCCGACCUGAGAGGGUGAUCGGCCACACUGGAACUGAGACACGGUCCAGACUCCUACGGGAGGCAGCAGUAGGGAAUCUUCCGCAAUGGGCGAAAGCCUGACGGAGCAACGCCGCGUGAGUGAUGAAGGUCUUCGGAUCGUAAAACUCUGUUAUCAGGGAAGAACAAACGUGUAAGUAACUGUGCACGUCUUGACGGUACCUGAUCAGAAAGCCACGGCUAACUACGUGCCAGCAGCCGCGGUAAUACGUAGGUGGCAAGCGUUAUCCGGAAUUAUUGGGCGUAAAGCGCGCGUAGGCGGUUUUUUAAGUCUGAUGUGAAAGCCCACGGCUCAACCGUGGAGGGUCAUUGGAAACUGGAAAACUUGAGUGCAGAAGAGGAAAGUGGAAUUCCAUGUGUAGCGGUGAAAUGCGCAGAGAUAUGGAGGAACACCAGUGGCGAA